This 18-nucleotide non-coding RNA is filed under the name Arabidopsis thaliana (thale cress). Lineage: Eukaryota; Viridiplantae; Streptophyta; Magnoliopsida; Brassicales; Brassicaceae. The record is from RNAcentral.
CAACCUUUCAUCGUUCCC